RNAcentral lists this ribosomal RNA (1470 nucleotides) under Synechococcus sp. WH 8103. RNAcentral's name for it is "bacterial SSU rRNA". It matches the Rfam family "Bacterial small subunit ribosomal RNA". Lineage: Bacteria; Bacillati; Cyanobacteriota; Cyanophyceae; Synechococcales; Synechococcaceae. The record is from RNAcentral.
GAGUUUGAUCCUGGCUCAGGAUGAACGCUGGCGGCGUGCUUAACACAUGCAAGUCGAACGAACCUUCGGGUUAGUGGCGGACGGGUGAGUAACGCGUGAGAAUCUGCCCUCAGGAGGGGGAUAACGGUUGGAAACGACCGCUAAUACCCCAUAUGCCGCGAGGUGAAAUGAAUUUCGCCUGAGGAUGAGCUCGCGUCUGAUUAGCUAGUUGGUGGGGUAAAGGCCUACCAAGGCAUCGAUCAGUAGCUGGUCUGAGAGGAUGAUCAGCCACACUGGGACUGAGACACGGCCCAGACUCCUACGGGAGGCAGCAGUGGGGAAUUUUCCGCAAUGGGCGAAAGCCUGACGGAGCAACGCCGCGUGAGGGAUGAAGGCCUCUGGGCUGUAAACCUCUUUUAUCAAGGAAGAAGAUCUGACGGUACUUGAUGAAUAAGCCACGGCUAAUUCCGUGCCAGCAGCCGCGGUAAUACGGGAGUGGCAAGCGUUAUCCGGAAUUAUUGGGCGUAAAGCGUCCGCAGGCGGCCCUUCAAGUCUGCUGUUAAAAAGUGGAGCUUAACUCCAUCAUGGCAGUGGAAACUGUUGGGCUUGAGUGUGGUAGGGGCAGAGGGAAUUCCCGGUGUAGCGGUGAAAUGCGUAGAUAUCGGGAAGAACACCAGUGGCGAAGGCGCUCUGCUGGGCCAUCACUGACGCUCAUGGACGAAAGCCAGGGGAGCGAAAGGGAUUAGAUACCCCUGUAGUCCUGGCCGUAAACGAUGAACACUAGGUGUCGGGGGAAUCGACCCCCUCGGUGUCGUAGCCAACGCGUUAAGUGUUCCGCCUGGGGAGUACGCACGCAAGUGUGAAACUCAAAGGAAUUGACGGGGGCCCGCACAAGCGGUGGAGUAUGUGGUUUAAUUCGAUGCAACGCGAAGAACCUUACCAGGGUUUGACAUCCUGCGAAUCUCUUGGAAACGAGAGAGUGCCUUCGGGAACGCAGUGACAGGUGGUGCAUGGCUGUCGUCAGCUCGUGUCGUGAGAUGUUGGGUUAAGUCCCGCAACGAGCGCAACCCACGUCUUUAGUUGCCAGCAUUUAGUUGGGCACUCUAGAGAGACCGCCGGUGAUAAACCGGAGGAAGGUGUGGAUGACGUCAAGUCAUCAUGCCCCUUACAUCCUGGGCUACACACGUACUACAAUGCUACGGACAAAGGGCAGCAAGUUCGCGAGGACAAGCAAAUCCCAUAAACCGUGGCUCAGUUCAGAUCGUAGGCUGCAACUCGCCUACGUGAAGGAGGAAUCGCUAGUAAUCGCAGGUCAGCAUACUGCGGUGAAUACGUUCCCGGGCCUUGUACACACCGCCCGUCACACCAUGGAAGUUGGCCACGCCCGAAGCCGUUACUCCAACCCUCGGGAGGAGGACGUCGAAGGUGGGGCUGAUGACUGGGGUGAAGUCGUAACAAGGUAUCCGUACCGGAAGGUGCGGAUGGAUCACC